UGGCGCAACGGUAGCGCGUCCGACUCCAGAUCGGAAGGUUGCGUGUUCAAAUCACGN
Clunio marinus is the source of this 57-nucleotide transfer RNA. It matches the Rfam family "tRNA", at positions 8 to 63 of the family's 71-position model. From Rfam's summary of the family: Transfer RNA (tRNA) molecules are approximately 80 nucleotides in length. Their secondary structure includes four short double-helical elements and three loops (D, anti-codon, and T loops). Lineage: Eukaryota; Metazoa; Arthropoda; Insecta; Diptera; Chironomidae. The record is from Rfam.